Molecule: ribosomal RNA, 447 nt
Filed under: uncultured bacterium
Lineage: Bacteria
Description: partial 16S ribosomal RNA
Rfam family: Bacterial small subunit ribosomal RNA
Source: RNAcentral
GCCAGACUCCUACGGGAGGCAGCAGUGGGGAAUAUUGCGCAAUGGGGGGAACCCUGACGCAGCAACGCCGCGUGAGUGAAGAAGGCCUUCGGGUUGUAAAGCUCUUUAAUCAGGGACGAAGAAUGACGGUACCUGUUUAGAAAGCUCCGGCUAACUACGUGCCAGCAGCCGCGGUAAUACGUAGGGAGCAAGCGUUGUCCGGAAUUACUGGGCGUAAAGGGCGCGUAGGUGGGCGCUUAAGUCAGGUGUGAAAACUCCGGGCUCAACCUGGAGACUGCGCUUGAAACUGGGUGUCUUGAGGGCAGGAGAGGAAAGUGGAAUUCCUAGUGUAGCGGUGAAAUGCGUAGAUAUUAGGAGGAACACCAGUGGCGAAGGCGACUUUCUGGACUGUACCUGACGCUGAGGCGCGAAAGCGUGGGUAGCGAACGGGAUUAGAUACCCCGGUAU